UAUAGGUUUGGUCCUGGCCCUCCUAUUAGUUACUAGUAAGCUUACACAUGCAAGAAUCCUCAUCCCGGUGAAUACGCCCUCUUUUCCAUAUAUGAUAAUGAAGGAGCUGGUAUCAGGCACACUAAUCAUUAAAGUAGCCCAUAACACCUUGCCUAGCCACACCCCCACGGGAUACAGCAGUGAUAAAAAUUAAGCAAUAAAUGAAAAUUUGACUAAAUUAUACUAUUAAGAACUGGUAAAUUUCGUGCCAGCCACCGCGGUCACACGAUUAGUUCAAACUAAUAGGCAUUCGGCGUAAAGCGUGUUUUAGAGAAAUUAUUAUUACUAAUAAAAUCAAAAUCUAGCUAAACUGUAAAAAGUCUUAGCUACCAUAAGAUACACUACGAAAGUGAUUUUAAAAGUCCUGAGUACACGAUAACUAAGAUCCAAACUGGGAUUAGAUACCCCACUAUGCUUAGUCCUAAAUACGAGAAAAUUAUUGAACAAACUUACUCGCCAGAGAACUACAAGCAACAGCUUAAAACUCAAAGGACCUGGCGGUACCUUAUAUCCUUCUAGAGGAGCCUGUUAUAUAAUUCGAUAAACCCCGAUAUACCUCACCAACCCUUGCCAAAUCAGCCUAUAUACCGCCAUCCUCAGCAAACCCUAAAAAGGAAGCACAGUCAGCACAAUUAUUAACAUAAAAACGUUAGGUCAAGGUGUAGCUUAUGGGUUGGGAAGAAAUGGGCUACAUUCCUCGACUCGAGGUAUUUAUACCUACGAAAACCUAUGUGAAACCAAAAGUUAAAGGUGGAUUUAGCAGUAAAUUAAGAAUAGAGAGCUUAAUUGAAUAAGGCCAUAAGGUAUGUACACACCGCCCGUCACCCUCCUCAAAUAAUAUAAUAUAUUAUACACCAUAAUUAAUUAACAAUGUUAAUUUAUGAGAGGAGACAAGUCGUAACAAGGUAAGUGUACUGGAAAGUGCACUUGGAUAACA
RNAcentral lists this non-coding RNA (976 nucleotides) under Murina cyclotis (Round-eared tube-nosed bat). RNAcentral's name for it is "12S ribosomal RNA". It matches the Rfam family "Bacterial small subunit ribosomal RNA". The record is from RNAcentral. Lineage: Eukaryota; Metazoa; Chordata; Mammalia; Chiroptera; Vespertilionidae.